CCGGGAAAGGGUUCAACGAGAAAGUGGUGAAAAUAUUUUUAUAUUGACAUUCAUACAGGCAAUCAUACUUUUACUGGUCGUAUGAAACAGGGGUAUUGAAGGAGUUGAACGACAUCAUUUCACACCUGUUCAUGAAACAGAGUACCGCCUUGAGUUUUUUUCCUGGGUAGUGAUUACAAGGUGGGAUAUGUCAAAGGAUAGGGCUGACUACACCGUAACAAAUGCAAGAACAUCUACAAGCAAAAAGCGAAAGGCGCACUUCCCAGCAGUAAACUAGCAAGUGUACGACUAGGAUCAAUUACAACACCACUACUGAACAUAGAGCCAGACCAUAUAAUACCCGAUGAGCUACACCUACUCCUACAUAUAGCUGACGUUUUAAUCACUCACCUACAGACGAUCGUUAAGACUGUGGUAUAUCACGUUCAGGGUAUGGGAAGCAAGGGGUCCAGAUGGCAAAGCUUACGAAUGGACAUCACUGCAGGGGAGAAGUUUCUGGAACGUCGAGGUUUGCUGACCUACUGAAGACCUACUGAAGGAAGAAAUUCAAGCUAAAAUGGCCCAACUUUGGACAGUGAGUACUAAUUAAAUUUCUCUUCGCAUUUUCAUAAUUAUUUAUAUGGUCUGGCUCUAUAGGAAUUUCUCUCUUUGUAUAAGAUGGUUUCUAGCUGGACUCAGUGUUAGUUUACUAGUAGGGAGAACUCUAAUUUACUAUAAUCUAUCAUGAUAGGCGAAAGACUGGAUAAAGCUUUUCUUGAGCUUGAAGCACAAGUGUCAAGGGUUUCAGGAAAAGAAUAUUACUUUCACUUCCCUUACUUUAUUCAAAAUACGGAAAUGUCAAGAUGUUUAGGGUGGAGAAAAAUUAAUAAUGAUGACGCCAAGAGACCCAGUAAUCUGCAUGACCCAGUGGGGGAGGUUCUGAAAGCUGAAGCAAGAAUAGACGAGACAUCACAAUUUAAGCGAAAGAAACGAAAGUACAUUCCAGU
Halichondria panicea is the source of this 986-nucleotide long non-coding RNA. RefSeq lists it as uncharacterized. The transcript has 3 exons. The record is from RefSeq and is a predicted model, not a curated record. NCBI's taxonomy places the organism in Eukaryota, Metazoa, Porifera, Demospongiae, Suberitida, Halichondriidae.